This 790-nucleotide ribosomal RNA is filed under the name uncultured euryarchaeote. RNAcentral's name for it is "bacterial SSU rRNA". It matches the Rfam family "Archaeal small subunit ribosomal RNA", at positions 85 to 879 of the family's 1478-position model. The record is from RNAcentral. Lineage: Archaea; Methanobacteriati; Methanobacteriota.
ACGGCUCAGUAACACGUAGUUAAUCUGCCAUAUGGUAGAGGAUAACCUUGGAAACCUGAGGGUAAUACUCUAUAGGGAAUACAUUUUGGAAUAAAGUAUUCUUCAAACUUACGGCCAUAUGAUGAGACUGCGGCGGAUUAGGUAGUUGGUAGGGUAAUGGCCUACCAAGCCUUCGAUCCGUACGGGCCUUGAAAGAGGUUACCCGGAGAGGGACACUGAGAUACUGGUCCCAGCCCUACGGGGUGCAGCAGGCGCGAAACCUUUACAAUGCACGAAAGUGUGAUAGGGGAACUCAAAGUGCUUAUACACUGUAUAGGCUUUUGCCAAGUCAAAACUGCUUGGCGAAUAAGUGGUGGGAAAGACUGGUGCCAGCCGCCGCGGUAACACCAGCGCCACAAGUGGGGACCGCUAUUAUUGGGUCUAAAGCGUCCGUAGCAUGUUAAGUAAAUUACUUGUGAAAUUGGACAGCUCAACUGUUCAGAUUGCAGGUAAGACUGCUAAACUAGAGACCGGGAGACGUUGAAGGUAUUCAGGGGGGAGCGGUAAAAUGCGAGAAUCCUCUGAGGACCACCUGUUGCGAAGGCGUUCAACAAUAACGGGUCUGACUGUGAGGGACGAAAGCUAGGGGAGCGAACCGGAUUAGAUACCCGAGUAGUCCUAGCCAUAAACGCUGCGAGUUAGGUGUUGCAUAAUCUCCGGGAUUAUGCAGUAUUGUAGGGAAGCCGUUAAACUCGCCACCUGGGAAGUACGGCCGCAAGACUGAAACUUAAAGGAAUUGGCGGGGGAGCAC